CAGGAGCACCCUCCCCUUGGAAAUGUCCCAGACCCUCAGCCUCAUAGGCGGACCUCCUUUGAUGGCUCUGGGGGAGCAAUGUGGCUGUCCAAGGAGGGGCUGUGAGCUUUCCACAGCCCCCCUCACCAGCCAGACUGGUUUGUCUGCAUUUCCCAUGAGACACAGCUGCUGUGAGCCAUAGCACAGUCUAGAAAUUAUAUAAGACUGAAAGUGAUUGUAACAAUGUGAAGGAAAAUGAAAUUCAAAGAUUCCUGGAAUCGUUUUUAAUGUCAAAAGAUAGUUGUUUCAAAACAGAUUUACAAAUCUUGCUGGCCUGUUGUAUUAGAGGACAUUACGAUUUUAUGUCUUUUACUUGUUUUGCCAUUUUAUCCAAAAGAAUAUUAUACAUGUGGCAUGAAUGAACACCAUCUCUUCAUGAGUGUUCUUUCAGAAAGGUUUUGGAUAUUGUAUUGGGGGCUCACAGUUAGAUAAAGGUCUGAAACAUAUACUAUUGGGAUACCCUGAAAAGCUAGACUUAGUCUACAUAAAAAGAUUGAAAAGAUUGAAGAUGGAUGUAAACAAGGUGUGAUUUUGUUUUUGAAACAUGGAAACUGCUGUUAUGUAGCUGCCAUAAUAAGCAGAGAAAAGCUGAGUGUUCGGUCUGGUCUGCACUAAGCCUGCACAGACAUCUCACUCGAGUCUCCACCUGAUGGAGGGAAACUUGGACCACAGAGAGGGUGAGUAACUCCCUCCAGAUCAGACAGCUGGCCACAGAGCCAGGAUUUAGGGCCAGGGCUGACCCCAAGGUCCAUGUCUUUGGAAACCAGGCUGUGAAUUCAGGCCCCUCGGCCUAUUCUUCAGCUCUCUGUCCCAGGACAGAUAACUUCAUCUCCUCCCAGCCCCCACGGAAAAAGGAAUUCUGGAUACCAGCGCUAAAGGAUAACUCAGCGGAAAGAUUUCAAAAGCUAGAUUCAUUCAAGGGGUUGGACAUAACAUUAGCUUAGAUUUCCUGACAGGAGCGAUUGCCACUCAGCCAGCCAUUCCACCAUUUCCCAGUGGCCCCAGCAC
RNAcentral lists this long non-coding RNA (1047 nucleotides) under Homo sapiens (human). Its description in RNAcentral is "HSALNT0201603". The record is from RNAcentral. Lineage: Eukaryota; Metazoa; Chordata; Mammalia; Primates; Hominidae.